Molecule: non-coding RNA, 148 nt
Filed under: Chlorocebus sabaeus (green monkey)
Lineage: Eukaryota; Metazoa; Chordata; Mammalia; Primates; Cercopithecidae
Source: Rfam by way of RNAcentral
GCCAGGCGUGGUGCCACGCGCCUGUGGUCCCAGCUACUCGGGAGGCUGAGGUGGGAGGAUUGCUUGAGCCCAGGAGGUCAAGGCUGCAGUGAGCUGUGAUGGUCCCACUGCACUCCAGCCUGGGCCACAGAGCAAGACUCUGCCUCAA